Molecule: ribosomal RNA, 443 nt
Filed under: uncultured bacterium
Lineage: Bacteria
Description: partial 16S ribosomal RNA
Rfam family: Bacterial small subunit ribosomal RNA
Source: RNAcentral
CCUACGGUGCGCAGCAGUGGGGAAUAUUGGACAAUGGGGGGAACCCUGAUCCAGCGACGCCGCGUGAGUGAAGAAGUAUUUCGGUAUGUAAAGCUCUAUCAGCAGGGAAGAAAGAAAUGACGGUACCUGACUAAGAAGCCCCGGCUAACUACGUGCCAGCAGCCGCGGUAAUACGUAGGGGGCAAGCGUUAUCCGGAUUUACUGGGUGUAAAGGGAGCGUAGACGGCGAUGCAAGUCUGAAGUGAAAGGCGGGGGCCCAACCCCCGGACUGCUUUGGAAACUGUAUGGCUGGAGUGCAGGAGAGGUAAGUGGAAUUCCUAGUGUAGCGGUGAAAUGCGUAGAUAUUAGGAGGAACACCAGUGGCGAAGGCGGCUUACUGGACUGUAACUGACGUUGAGGCUCGAAAGCGUGGGGAGCAAACAGGAUUAGAUACCCCGGUAGUC